This 400-nucleotide ribosomal RNA is filed under the name uncultured bacterium. RNAcentral's name for it is "bacterial SSU rRNA". It matches the Rfam family "Bacterial small subunit ribosomal RNA", at positions 356 to 773 of the family's 1533-position model. The record is from RNAcentral.
UAGGAAUAUUGGACAAUGGGGGAAACCCUGAUCCAGCCAUGCCGCGUGUGUGAUGAAGGCCUUAGGGUUGUAAAGCACUUUCGUUGGGGAUGAUAAUGACCGUACCCAAAGAAGAAGCCACGGCUAAAUUCGUGCCAGCAGCCGCGGUAAUACGAAUGUGGCAAGCGUUGUUCGGAAUCACUGGGCGUAAAGAAUGCGUAGGCGGCUUGACAAGUCGAGAGUGAAAUCCCAGGGCUUAACCCUGGAACUGCUUUCGAAACUGUUUUGCUAGAGUCCCGGAGGGGUUGGCGGAAUUCCGAGUGUAGAGGUGAAAUUCGCAGAUAUUCGGAGGAACACCAGUGGCGUAGGCGGCCAACUGGACGGGAACUGACGCUGAGGCAUGAAAGUGUGGGGAUCAAAC